Molecule: ribosomal RNA, 502 nt
Filed under: uncultured bacterium
Lineage: Bacteria
Description: bacterial SSU rRNA
Rfam family: Bacterial small subunit ribosomal RNA
Source: RNAcentral
AUUGAACGCUGGCGGCAUGCCUUACACAUGCAAGUCGAACGGGCUUAAGGGGCUUGCUCUUUAAGUUAGUGGCGAACGGGUGAGUAAAGUAUCGGAACGUAUCGUUAAGUGGGGGAUAACGUAGCGAAAGUUACGCUAAUACCGCAUAUUCUCUGAGGAGGAAAGCAGGGGACCGCAAGGCCUUGUGCUUAAUGAGCGGCCGAUAUCAGAUUAGCUAGUUGGUGAGGUAAAGGCUCACCAAGGCAACGAUCUGUAGCGGGUCUGAGAGGAUGAUCCGCCACACUGGGACUGAGACACGGCCCAGACUCCUACGGGAGGCAGCAGUGGGGAAUUUUGGACAAUGGGGGCAACCCUGAUCCAGCCAUGCCGCGUGAGUGAAGAAGGCCUUCGGGUUGUAAAGCUCUUUCGCGAGGAAGAAACGACACUUCUAAUAUAGGUGUGGAGUGACGGUACCUUGAUAAGAAGACACCGGCUAACUACGUGCCAGCAGCCGCGGUAAAGU